GCCGCGGUAGCUCAGCCCGGUAGAGCACUCGGCUGAAGACCGAGGUGUCGGGGGUUCAAAUCCCUCCCGCGGCA
RNAcentral lists this transfer RNA (74 nucleotides) under Microcaldota archaeon. Its description in RNAcentral is "tRNA-Phe". It matches the Rfam family "tRNA". From Rfam's summary of the family: Transfer RNA (tRNA) molecules are approximately 80 nucleotides in length. Their secondary structure includes four short double-helical elements and three loops (D, anti-codon, and T loops). Further hydrogen bonds mediate the characteristic L-shaped molecular structure. tRNAs have two regions of fundamental functional importance: the anti-codon, which is responsible for specific mRNA codon recognition, and the 3' end, to which the tRNAs corresponding amino acid is attached (by aminoacyl-tRNA synthetases). tRNAs cope with the degeneracy of the genetic code in two manners: having more than one tRNA (with a specific anti-codon) for a particular amino acid; and 'wobble' base-pairing, i.e. permitting non-standard base-pairing at the 3rd anti-codon position. Lineage: Archaea; Nanobdellati; Microcaldota. The record is from RNAcentral.